GAGGAAAAGAAACCAACAGGGAUUGCCUUAGUAGCGGCGAGUGAAGCGGCAAAAGCUCAAAUUUGAAAUCUGGCACUUUCAGUGUCCGAGUUGUAAUUUGAAGAAGGUAUCUUUGGGUCUGGCUCUUGUCUAUGUUUCUUGGAACAGAACGUCACAGAGGGUGAGAAUCCCGUGCGAUGAGAUGUCCCAGACCUAUGUAAAGUUCCUUCGAAGAGUCGAGUUGUUUGGGAAUGCAGCUCUAAGUGGGUGGUAAAUUCCAUCUAAAGCUAAAUAUUGGCGAGAGACCGAUAGCGAACAAGUACAGUGAUGGAAAGAUGAAAAGAACUUUGAAAAGAGAGUGAAAAAGUACGUGAAAUUGUUGAAAGGGAAGGGCUUUAAGACCAGACUUGGUAUUUUGUAUGUUACUCUCUCGGGGGUGGCCUCUACAGUUUACCGGGCCAGCAUCAGUUUGAGCGGUAGGAUAAGUGCAAAGAAAUGUGGCACUGCUUCGGUAGUGUGUUAUAGUCUUUGUCGAUACUGCCAGCUUAGACUGAGGACUGCGGCUCGGCUA
Molecule: ribosomal RNA, 550 nt
Filed under: Lodderomyces parapsilosis
Lineage: Eukaryota; Fungi; Ascomycota; Pichiomycetes; Serinales; Debaryomycetaceae
Description: Candida parapsilosis partial large subunit ribosomal RNA
Rfam family: Eukaryotic large subunit ribosomal RNA
Source: RNAcentral